AAUAGAUACCCCGGUAGUCCACGCCGUAAACGAUGAUAACUAGCUGUCCGGGCACAUGGUGCUUGGGGUGGCGCAGCUAACGCAUUAAGUUAUCCGCCUGGGGAGUACGGUCGCAAGAUUAAAACUCAAAGGAAUUGACGGGGGCCUGCACAAGCGGUGGAGCAUGUGGUUUAGUUCGAAGCAACGCGCAGAACCUUACCAGCCUUUGACAUCCCGGUCGCGGUUUCCAGAGAUGGAUUCCUUCAGUUCGGCUGGACCGGUGACAGGUGCUGCAUGGCUGUCGUCAGCUCGUGUCGUGAGAUGUUGGGUUAAGUCCCGCAACGAGCGCAACCCUCGUCCUUAGUUGCUACCAUUCAGUUGGGCACUCUAAGGAAACUGCCGGUGAUAAGCCGGAGGAAGGUGGGGAUGACGUCAAGUCCUCAUGGCCCUUAUAGGCUGGGCUACACACGUGCUACAAUGGCGGUGACAGUGGGCAGCGACCCCGCAAGGGUGAGCUAAUCUCCAAAAGCCGUCUCAGUUCGGAUUGU
RNAcentral lists this ribosomal RNA (527 nucleotides) under uncultured bacterium. Its description in RNAcentral is "bacterial SSU rRNA". It matches the Rfam family "Bacterial small subunit ribosomal RNA", at positions 777 to 1301 of the family's 1533-position model. The record is from RNAcentral.